GGGGCUAGCGUUAUCCGGAUUUACUGGGCGUAAAGGGUGCGUAGGCGGUCUUUCAAGUCAGGAGUGAAAGGCUACGGCUCAACCGUAGUAAGCUCUUGAAACUGGGAGACUUGAGUGCAGGAGAGGAGAGUGGAAUUCCUAGUGUAGCGGUGAAAUGCGUAGAUAUUAGGAGGAACCCCAGUUGCGAAGGCGGCUCUCUGGACUGUAACUGACGCUGAGGCACGAAAGCGUGGGGAGCAAACAGGAUUAGAUACCCUGGUAGUCCACGCUGUAAA
RNAcentral lists this ribosomal RNA (275 nucleotides) under Clostridioides difficile. RNAcentral's name for it is "partial 16S ribosomal RNA". It matches the Rfam family "Bacterial small subunit ribosomal RNA", at positions 531 to 806 of the family's 1533-position model. The record is from RNAcentral. Lineage: Bacteria; Bacillati; Bacillota; Clostridia; Peptostreptococcales; Peptostreptococcaceae.